Manis pentadactyla (Chinese pangolin) is the source of this 1620-nucleotide RNA transcript. It is a transcript of the gene named biorientation of chromosomes in cell division 1, with no coding region annotated. The transcript is spliced from 4 exons. NCBI's taxonomy places the organism in Eukaryota, Metazoa, Chordata, Mammalia, Pholidota, Manidae. The record is from RefSeq and is a predicted model, not a curated record.
AAGGUCUGUGUUGACGUCACCUGAAGAGCGCCCGGGAUGGAGCGGGCGAUUUCUGCCGGUCCUACCACCUCUGCGGCCUCAGAGCCCCCCUCCGUCGCCGCCACCUCCUUCCCCUCCCCCUCCGCCGCCGCCUUCUCCGGCUUUUCCACCACCUCUGCACGACCCAGGCCCUCCGUCCUUGACAGCAAGCCGUGUUUGGUCUCCUUCCCGGGCCUGGGGCUCAGCCAUGGCGGACGGCGGCGGCGGCGGCACGGGCGCGGUGGGCGGCGGCGGAGCAGGCCAGGCCUCCGCGGGGUCUGCGACGGGCGCGACGGGGGCCGGCGGGAGCGGCGGCCCCAUCAACCCGGCUUCACUGCCUCCCGGUGACCCGCAGCUCAUCGCUCUCAUCGUGGAGCAGCUCAAGAGCAGGGGCCUCUUCGACAGCUUCCGCCGGGACUGCCUAGCCGACGUGGACACCAAGCCAGCUUACCAAAACCUGAGGCAGAAAGUGGAUAAUUUUGUGUCAACACAUCUGGACAAGCAGGAAUGGAAUCCUACGAUGAACAAAAACCAGUUGCGAAAUGGUCUGAGGCAGAGUGUGGUUCAGUCAGGAAUGUUGGAAGCUGGAGUGGACAGAAUUAUUUCUCAGGUGGUGGAUCCCAAACUAAACCACAUCUUCAGGCCCCAGAUAGAACGAGCAAUUCAUGAGUUCCUGGCUGCCCAGAAAAAAGAAGCUGUGCCAGCACCCCCUCCAGAGCCUGAAAGCCAGGACCCUCCUGCUCCAUCCCAGGGUGCUUCCUAAGGUCCGGUAUCCCGUCUUUUGUCCAGGAGCAUUCAUCUCUGGCUUAUAGAUAUAUAAAAAGGAUAGAAAAGGGAAUAUGCCUGACACCUUUUGGAAGCUCUGCUGAAUUAAUGGUGAAGAAAGGGACUUGGUUACAUAAAAGUACAGCUUCAGAAUGAAGACAGGCCAAGAUUGUCACUGAUUUCAAGAUUCAGCCUUGACUGUUGGGGUGUCCAACUGGAACAGAGAACACGUUUGGUAGUAGAAAAGUUGGUUGUGUGUGCCGUGCACAUUGUGCUGCCACCUGAGCGGGCUGGCCGGGGAAUGACACCCAGUAAACACUACAGAGAUUCGAAGAAACACUACAUCAAUCAGGGGUUGUCUUGAAACAAACCUUUGUACUUGAACUUGGAGACUGCAUGUAGAUUUUAAGGUUUGUGCUUGGGGAUAAACAAAACAACAGUGAAGGAACGUAAUCAAUCCCAAAGAUGCAAUUCACAGCCUUACAGGGAAGGUUGCUGGAGUACGUGUUUGACAGUGCUCGCUUGAUACUGUUUCUCGGAGUUGCAAACUAGAAUGCACAAGCCUGUUAGCAUCAAAUAGCUUUCAAGUUGUUAUAACCCUCUUGUACAUGAAUCUUGUAAUUUCAGUCUCAUUUCCCCUGGAAGACGUGACAAAAUGUGGGACCUAGAAUACAUGAGGUGUAAGAAGAAGCUAGUGCAGGCUCUCUGUCUGGGCUUCUUCCUGCUGAGCAAGGGCUAGGGUUUAUUUUUGGGUGUGUUUAUUUUCUCAUGUUUUUUAGAAAAGUGAAUGAUCAAUAAAUGGCUUAAGUUUUGUAAUAAAAUCAUUUGAUACUCUUA